AAAGCAACUUAAUAGAAGCUGUUAUUGUGAUUAGUCUGUGCCUGUAGACUGUGAAGUUUUUCAAGGCAGUGCAACCAUUACUAUCGAACACUUGACGGGUGAAGUCAAACCUUUAGAGAUUAAAGUUGGAGACAGGAUUCCUGGUGGAGCAAGAAAUUUGGAUGGUAGGAUAAUUGUGAAGGCUACAAAAACGUGGAAAGAGUCAACCCUCAGCAAGAUAGUACAAUUGACUGAAGAAGCACGCUUGAAUAAACCAAAGCUUCAAAGGUGGCUUGACCAAUUUGGUGAGCAAUACAGCAAGGUUCUCGUAGUCUUGUCUGUAGCUAUUGCUCUCAUUGGUCCAUUUCUCUUCAAGUGGCCAUUCUUUGGAACAUCAGGUAGUAUUUAGUUUAUACAGUGCCCUCAUUAACUCUAAUACUAUCUAUUACAUUCUCCUGACGUACCCCAUUAUGGGAUUUAAAAUUUUAUGAAACACCUACUCUUACCUUAAAAUGGUCCUUUUUUAUUUGUUGGUUUCAAUCAGAGCUCAGCUUUAACUUUUU
Long non-coding RNA from Humulus lupulus (European hop), 542 nucleotides. RefSeq lists it as uncharacterized. Lineage: Eukaryota; Viridiplantae; Streptophyta; Magnoliopsida; Rosales; Cannabaceae. The record is from RefSeq and is a predicted model, not a curated record. The transcript is spliced from 2 exons.